GACGAACGCUGGCGGCGUGCUUAACACAUGCAAGUCGAACGGAAAGGCCCUGCUUUUGUGGGGUGCUCGAGUGGCGAACGGGUGAGUAACACGUGAGUAACCUGCCCUUGACUUUGGGAUAACUUCAGGAAACUGGGGCUAAUACCGGAUAGGAGCUCCUGCUGCAUGGGGGGGGUUGGAAAGUUUCGGCGGUUGGGGAUGGACUCGCGGCUUAUCAGCUUGUUGGUGGGGUAGUGGCUUACCAAGGCUUUGACGGGUAGCCGGCCUGAGAGGGUGACCGGCCACAUUGGGACUGGGCUACGGCCCAGACUCCUACGGGAGGCAGCAGUGGGGAAUAUUGCACAAUGGGCGGAAGCCUGAUGCAGCAACGCCGCGUGCGGGAUGACGGCCUUCGGGUUGUAAACCGCUUUCGCCUGUGACGAAGCGUGAGUGACGGUAAUGGGUAAAGAAGCACCGGCUAACUACGUG
RNAcentral lists this ribosomal RNA (468 nucleotides) under uncultured bacterium. RNAcentral's name for it is "partial 16S ribosomal RNA". It matches the Rfam family "Bacterial small subunit ribosomal RNA", at positions 28 to 507 of the family's 1533-position model. The record is from RNAcentral.